CGGGGCGUAGCGCAGCCUGGAAGCGCACUUGCAUGGGGUGCAAGGAGUCGCAGGUUCAAAUCCUGCCGCCCCGACCA
RNAcentral lists this transfer RNA (77 nucleotides) under Desulfosalsimonas propionicica. RNAcentral describes it as "tRNA-Pro". It matches the Rfam family "tRNA". Rfam says of the family: Transfer RNA (tRNA) molecules are approximately 80 nucleotides in length. Lineage: Bacteria; Pseudomonadati; Thermodesulfobacteriota; Desulfobacteria; Desulfobacterales; Desulfosalsimonadaceae. RNAcentral also lists the same sequence under 4 other names. The record is from RNAcentral.